CAUAACAUUAGGGGUUUGUAUGUGGGGGUUGGUGUAGCUGUAAUUGUAAUCGAACUCAGCAGUACUGGCUGUUAAAGACUGAAGUUUACUUUAAAGCCAGAUCUCACUGGUUAUAUAAUUCAGCUAUGGUAAUUUGCAGUUGAAUGAGACCUGACUUGAAAAUGCUCAGCUCAAAUGCUGAUUUCCUACUGAAAAUGUCUUGCAGAAGAAUCUAGAACACAGAAUUCAUUAGAAAGGAAGUUCAUUUGGCCAGGUACAAUUAAAUAAUUAAUCAAAUGUAAACAUCUGAAGCUUCCAAGAGUCUAUUUCUGACUGGUUUGUGGCUUUAUUUUUAAAAUACUUUAUCAAUGAAAAAGUGCUUUUUCUUGCUAUUUUGUGAAGCUAACUGUCAGACAGCAGUCCACCACAUAAAUCCAAGAAAUUACAGUGGUAAGAGUAGUUUAAGUGAGACCACAACCAGAAGAACCGUUUUACUUUGAGCUCACUACUUAGUCUUUAUAUGAAUAGCACAAAACGGUCAUUGUUAAUAACAUUAUUCCCUCCUUCAGGUGACACUGAAGCUCUAUCUCCUAAAGGGUCACAAUAGGUGAAAGCAAAAGAGAGAAUUAGCAGGGCCUCUAAAGCUUCAAAUGGCUAUUAAAUACAGUUUUCAGCAAUUACGUGGCUAUAUUUCUUCAAAUGUCAGAUCACUUUAUGGACCUUCACUCACUUCAUUCAGAGCUUUCUCUGUAUUGUAAGUGAAGAAGUUGAAGAAGAGGUCACUGGCCAAUCAACACAGCAAAUUGACUGUAAUUACUCCAGUCCCCAAAGGUAAUAACAUUCUGCUUCAGCUGACAGGUCUGCAUAGCCUUGUGGUAAGCAAGGUCAUUGGAACGACUUCAGUGCUAUGUCAACACUGCACAAUGGGAAAGGAAGUCCUGCUUUAGGAAGUCCUUUUUCUUUAUUAAGACCUCUGGAAUUCAAGUUAAGUACUUGGUCUGCAGAGUGUUUGAAUGGCAGAGAUUUCUUGUGUUGGGCUGCAGAAAGGAUUGCAAGCAUCAGAAUUACUCAUCAGCACUCAGGCAGUUAAAUCCAAAAUUAUGGUCCUGGAAACUCUGCUAAGCUGUUGCCUGGUCCUUGAGGAAUCUAAAAUGUUUCUCAGCAGGACAGUGCUAGCAAGAUUUGGUCAAUUUAUUGUUAAAACUCUUUGUGAGGAAUGUGAUUUACACCUUGCAAGGGGAGAAGGAAACUACAUCUCCCAGUGGUUUCAUCUGCAACUGUGA
RNAcentral lists this long non-coding RNA (1262 nucleotides) under Phasianus colchicus (ring-necked pheasant). RNAcentral describes it as "lncRNA (ENSPCLG00000017059.1)". Lineage: Eukaryota; Metazoa; Chordata; Aves; Galliformes; Phasianidae. The record is from RNAcentral.